GAUGAACGCUGGCGGCGUGCUUAACACAUGCAAGUCGAACGGAAAGGCCCUGCUUUUGUGGGGUGCUCGAGUGGCGAACGGGUGAGUAACACGUGAGUAACCUGCCCCUCACUUCGGGAUAACUUCAGGAAACUGGGGCUAAUACCGGAUAGGAGCUCCGGCUGCAUGCUGUGGGUUGGAGUGUUUUGGCGGUGGGGGAUGGACUCGCGGCUUAUCAGCUUGUUGGUGGGGUAGUGGCUUACCAAGGCGUUGACGGGUAGCCGGCCUGAGAGGGUGAACGGCCACAUUGGGACUGAGAUACGGCCCAGACUCCUACGGGAGGCAGCAGUGGGGAAUAUUGCACAAUGGGCGGAAGCCUGAUGCAGCAACGCCGCGUGGGGGAUGACGGCCUUCGGGUUGUAAACCGCUUUCGCCUGGGACGAAGCGUGAGUGACGGGAAUGGGUAGAGGAGCACCGGCUAACUACGUG
RNAcentral lists this ribosomal RNA (468 nucleotides) under uncultured bacterium. RNAcentral describes it as "partial 16S ribosomal RNA". It matches the Rfam family "Bacterial small subunit ribosomal RNA", at positions 28 to 507 of the family's 1533-position model. The record is from RNAcentral.